This 301-nucleotide ribosomal RNA is filed under the name uncultured bacterium. RNAcentral describes it as "partial 16S ribosomal RNA". It matches the Rfam family "Bacterial small subunit ribosomal RNA", at positions 509 to 809 of the family's 1533-position model. The record is from RNAcentral.
CAGUCGCCACGGGAAUACGGAGGGUGCAAGCGUUAAUCGGAAUUACUGGGCGUAAAGCGCACGCAGGCGGUCUGACAAGUCAGAUGUGAAAUCCCCGGGCUUAACCUGGGAACUGCAUUUGAAACUGUCAGGCUGGAGUCUUGUAGAGGGGGGUGGAAUUCCAGGUGUAGCGGUGAAAUGCGUAGAGAUCUGGAGGAAUACCGGUGGCGAAGGCGGCCCCCUGGACAAAGACUGACGCUCAGGUGCGAAAGCGUGGGGAGCAAACAGGAUUAGAUACCCCGGUAGUCCCUGUCUCUUAUAA